RNAcentral lists this microRNA (22 nucleotides) under Corchorus capsularis. Its description in RNAcentral is "sRNA CCACVL1_08485". The record is from RNAcentral. Lineage: Eukaryota; Viridiplantae; Streptophyta; Magnoliopsida; Malvales; Malvaceae.
UUUCUCUUUCUCAGUCGGGCUC